RNAcentral lists this transfer RNA (93 nucleotides) under Calypte anna (Anna's hummingbird). It matches the Rfam family "tRNA". From Rfam's summary of the family: Transfer RNA (tRNA) molecules are approximately 80 nucleotides in length. Their secondary structure includes four short double-helical elements and three loops (D, anti-codon, and T loops). The record is from Rfam by way of RNAcentral. Lineage: Eukaryota; Metazoa; Chordata; Aves; Apodiformes; Trochilidae.
CCUUCGAUAGCUCAGUUGGUAGAGCGGAGGACUGUAGGAUUGGGCUCCAUAAAAGUAAUCCUUAGGUCGCUGGUUCAAUUCCAGCUGGAAGGA